AACGAACGCUGGCGGCAGGCUUAACACAUGCAAGUCGAACGAGAUCUUCGGAUCUAGUGGCAGACGGGUGAGGAACACGUGGGAACAUCCCUUUCAGUUCGGAAUAACGUUGGGAAACCAACGCUAAUACCGGAUACGUCCUUCGGGAGAAAGAUUUAUCGCUGAAAGAUUGGCUCGCGUCUGAUUAGCUAGUUGGUGAGGUAAUGGCUCACCAAGGCUACGAUCAGUAGCUGAUCUGAGAGGAUGAUCAGCCACAUUGGGACUGAGACACGGCCCAAACUCCUACGGGAGGCAGCAGUGGGGAAUAUUAGACAAUGGGCGCAAGCCUGAUCCGGCCAUGCCGCGUGAGUGAUGAAGGCCUUCGGGUUGUAAAGCUCUUUUAUCCGGGAAGAUAAUGACUGUACCGGAAGAAUAAGCCCCGGCAAACUUCGUGCCAGCCGCCGCGGUAA
Molecule: ribosomal RNA, 449 nt
Filed under: uncultured bacterium
Lineage: Bacteria
Description: partial 16S ribosomal RNA
Rfam family: Bacterial small subunit ribosomal RNA
Source: RNAcentral